Daphnia pulex (common water flea) is the source of this 816-nucleotide long non-coding RNA. RefSeq lists it as uncharacterized. The transcript has 2 exons. Lineage: Eukaryota; Metazoa; Arthropoda; Branchiopoda; Diplostraca; Daphniidae. The record is from RefSeq and is a predicted model, not a curated record.
GUUAUACAGUAUGGUGCUGCCGCGUAGCGCAAUAUGACUUUCUAAUUGUCUGUCUCUAUAUACGUACGUGUGGUGGUACACCUCAAGGAGAAAUCUGCCUCUUUUUCCAUUUAAUGAUAUCCGCGCUAAACAAAAGUGAAAAUGCAAUCAAUAAUCUUAUUGCUACGCUUCAUGUGGAAAACGAAAACCACCGUUUCAUUAAGUUGGGAACCAUAUGUAGUGAACUAUAAGGCGAAAGUAAGAGGUGGAGCUUUAGAGUUCUAACUUCACUACAGAGUGAUGUAUAAAUUCAACUGUGUUCAUUGUAGAGGCAUCAGUUGAGCCGAGUUGAGUGCAGCUGUCUAUAGAGCGCGAGGACUAACUUUGAAAAAGAAAUGAAGGUUUUAUUCAUUAUUAUCGCUGCUGCUGCCUUGCUGGUGGUCGAUGUUUCAGGCCAAUCGUUUUCCAAACCAAGUUUAUUCCGUUCCAAGCAGCAGGAAUUGGACUCGGAGUUGCCAUUCAGAUCUUCUCAGCGCGACUACCGUGAACCCAUCUACAGGUACAAUAAUGCCUUCCGUCCCUUGGAAGAAAUACCGACACCUAGGCCGCAUUUUAUGUUCUUUGUUAAAAGGAUGAGGAAAAUGCUUCUUGUGUAAAUAGCAUCAUUAGUUAUUUGUGUUUGUGUAGGUAAAUUGUUUUUUCUUCAACAAUUUUUUUGAGUUGAUGUGUACUGGGGUUGAUUCCGGGUGCAAUAUUCACGAAAAUGAGCUUAAAGAUGCACUAGAGAUUGUAUCGAAAUCAUCAUAUAGUCAAUAAAAAGUAGUGUCAAAAGUCUUA